GUGAAAGCAGCACUUGAACUAAAAUUACAAUGAUACAAAGAAGAUUAAUGUGGCCCCUGCACCAGGAUGACAUGUAAAUUCGUGAAGCAUUCCAUAUUUUU
Molecule: small nuclear RNA, 101 nt
Organism: Bison bison bison
Lineage: Eukaryota; Metazoa; Chordata; Mammalia; Artiodactyla; Bovidae
Source: Ensembl